AACUAGUCGAAAGAUUAGCUAAUACCGAAUAAUAACAUCAAUAUCGCAUGAGAAGAUGUAGAAAGUCGCUCUUUGUGGCGACGCUUUUGGAUGAGGGGUGCGACGUAUCAGAUAGUUGGUGAGGUAAAUGGGCUCACCAAGUCAAUGACGCGUAGCUGUACUGAGAGGUAGAACAGCCACAAUGGGGACUGAGACACGGCCCAUACUCCUACGGGAGGCAGCAGUAGGGAAUUUUUCACAAUGGGCGCAAGCCUUAUGAAGCAAUGCCGCGUGAACGAUGAAGGUCUUAUAGAUUGUAAAGUUCUUUUAUAUGGGAAGAAACGCUAAGAUAGGGAAAAUGAUUUUAGUUUGACUGUACCAUUUGAAUAAGUAUCGGCUAACUAUGCGCCCAGCAGCCGCGGGUAAAUA
This 408-nucleotide ribosomal RNA is filed under the name uncultured Ureaplasma sp. Its description in RNAcentral is "bacterial SSU rRNA". It matches the Rfam family "Bacterial small subunit ribosomal RNA", at positions 145 to 527 of the family's 1533-position model. The record is from RNAcentral. Lineage: Bacteria; Bacillati; Mycoplasmatota; Mycoplasmoidales; Mycoplasmoidaceae.